This 1546-nucleotide long non-coding RNA is filed under the name Parus major (Great Tit). Its description in RNAcentral is "lncRNA (ENSPMJG00000009018.1)". Lineage: Eukaryota; Metazoa; Chordata; Aves; Passeriformes; Paridae. The record is from RNAcentral.
GCAGAGGCGCGAUCGCCGCCGGUGCCCGCGGAGCUCAGCGGGGCGCGGCGCCCGGUGGUGCCGCCAUGGGCCGCCUCCGGCGCUCCGGUGCCCGCGGCGGCGGCACCCUGGCUUCAGCCCGCAGGCGUCCCGCUCAGCCCGAGCCUUGCCAAGGGAUGAAGGGAGGGGGGGGGGGCGCAAAAAGAAAAGUAUAUAUUUUAAAAUAAAGCACUGCAGCCCACCCCGCCUUCGCCGCGGAGCGCGUCCCCCCGGCUGCGGAUGGCUUUAAUGGAGCUUGGCAGCCACAGGUUCCCGCUGCCAGAAGAGGUGGAGACUCCGCCGCCUGCGCCCCACAUGCGGCCGCGCACCGCACACGCGGGGGAGGAGGAGGAGGAGGAGAAGAAGGAGGAGGAGAAGGAGAAGGGCAGCCCCGGCCCGGCACCACAGACCGAGGGUGAGAUUUCAACGUGCCAGUUGCAGCACUGCAGGCAGAAAACUGCACAGACCUGUCUGACUCCAGCAGCUCCAAGGAUGGCCCCCGGCAUUCUGCAAGGACAGAAAAAAUAAGAGGGAACUGGGCUAUCAGUGAGGAAAGGUAAAAUAACAAUACCUCUGUUCAGUGACUAGAGUAACCAUAAGCAGUUAUUAAAACAGGUUUUGGAACAUGUUAAAAACCCAAGCCUUACUGUGGUACCUGGUCCAGGGCUGUUGUAAUACAGCUUGUUUUCUCCCUGUUAAAACAAUAAUUUACUCUUUACUUUGAGGAAGAUAAAUGUUCUCGAGGCAUAUAAUGAUAUCAGCAGAGAUAAAUUACAAAGGACACCAGCCAAACUCAAGCUUUGUGAGGACUGAACCAUAAAUUGCUGCAGCAGGCACACGUCUGCUCUGGCAGCAGGGUAACCAUGCACCUGCUCAUGCCUCAGGCCAGCCCCUUGCCUGGCAUAUUCCUGCAAGGCACAAGGAAAGCGCUUAAUCACUUAUUAAAUUCUUGCUCUAUCUAAAAAGUAUUUAAGGAUGUGAACUUUGGUUCAAGACUUGCAUGUGUAAUACCCUUAUAUGCCUAAAACAUCAUUCCACUGUGUGCAUUUUUUCUGGUUUAUAUAUGUGCAUUUUCCCUGACACUGUACAAACCUAUCAAAAAAUGUUUUCAAAGCUUUUUUUAAAUAUACAAGGAAGCUGUGGAAUGAGGGAUGUCUUUUGAGUACUUUGGAUUAUAUAGUACAUGUUCAUCUGAGGGUGCCCCAUGGGUACCUGGGGGUUCUGUGCUCUUGCCAGGAUGUCUUAUUGCACAAACCUUCCUUGCUGCCCCAUAACAACCACCAACUGUCCCAAACUGCUGACCUAUUAACCAAACAAACCCCACUAAAUAUUGCCAUGUGUAAGUGUACUAUUAUUUUUCUAAUUGCUAAAAACAUGUCCUUCCUGUGUUCAAUAGCCUCUAGAAGAGAUUGUUAACAGCUGGGUAUUUAGCACAACAGAGACUUUAGACUUAAAGGAACAUUGUCCAGGUUAGCCAGUGAAUUUGGCCAUCUGUAAUUUUUUGUAGAUGAUUCUUUUCAUGUUAUCC